ACCCGCCAGCCCCGCGCUCUACCAGGCAGAGCGCGUGUGGCCGCCGAGCACAUGGACCCACUGGUCAAGCGGGCUCGGCAAGGCCAGGAUGAAGAGAAGCUACGAACUUAGCAUUCCCAGAGCCCCCCGAGUGGAUAUCCGCGUGGAAAGGAUGUUGGCAGCCCCGGUGACCUCGGAGUCACGGCUGGAUCCACCCUCUUAGAGCCGAGUUCUGUCACCACAGACAUUGGCAGUGGCACUUGCAUGCCCCUGGCAAGCAGUCUAUCCUGAGGUGGAGGAAGUUGCCCUUGAGUUCUGGCUGGUAACCAGCACAGGGGCUGGGACACUGCCUGAUUGAGGUGGCCAUUGAGAAUUCAAGUGUACCUCUUGGUCCCUGAUGCAGAAAUGAAGUCCCCAGCAUGCUCAAGAAGAGCUUCCUUGGAGGAUGAGAGGCAUGGGAAUCUAAGUAUACCCUUUAAGCGUUCCAGAAGGAUUUUGAGAUCCUUUCCUAAAUCAAAGGUGGAAUAUUUGGGGAUUUGGAAAAUUGAGGCUUCAGAGAAAUCAGGAGCGGUGAAUGAUCGAAAUGGACCUUUGAGAUUACAGUGUGGAGCUGACAUUGCCAGUUAAGCCUGGGCAGAUCUGACUUAAUUGAUUUAGUUGUUGGAGCAGAGACAACCCAGAGGCUUGGAUCAGCCUCCCCAUCUGACAGUGUGCUGAUGUGAAGCGUUGACUUAAGAGAUGCCAAGUAACUCAGCAGAUGUCACACAGACGAUAAAUAGCAAAGAUGGAAGUCUUCAUGCCGGAGGCAAUCCUAUAAGACAGCUGAGUUCUGCAGAGCUGGUAGGAGACAGACUUGCUCAGGUGAUAGAUCCAGCCAUGAUACUGACCCUAAGAGAAUGAGACGCUCUGCAGAAGACAGAAGAUUCCUGAAACUGGGAAAGGUGCCUAGAAAUCCUGAUAAGAGUGAAGAAGGAGCUGGCAGAGCAGCCUUCCUCCGCACUAUGAAAGACAUCCAACAGAGAGCAAGUUCCCACCUCACUUCCAGCUUGACUCCUUUUUAUCUCCUAACUGUGGUCUGUGAUGUCUUCAGCAAUGGGUACCUGGAGGCACAGCAGCCAUGUUGAACCUAUGAGGUGAUGAAAAACCAUGCAACUAGAAACCAGAAUGGAAGAAAAGAAGAAGCUGGAUCCUUGACUGAAUUGUCGAUGGGGGAUAGUCCAUCAUCCCAGGGCUAAGACCACCUCCAGAUUUCUUGUUUGGUGAAACAAGUCCUGAUUGUUUACAUUCCCUCGUGUUGAGCUGUCUCUUGCUUGUAGCUGAAAGCAUUUCUAAUAGAUAUUCAGAUUAUCAGCCUUAGCUCCAAGCUAGAAUACUCUAUGGGACCUUAGCUUCUCCAUGAAUUCCUUUGCUCAUCUGUGUAAUGCUCAAUAAAUGUAAAUUGAACCCUGAAUGAGGGACAAUGACACUA
This 1447-nucleotide long non-coding RNA is filed under the name Mus musculus (house mouse). RNAcentral describes it as "Pvt1 oncogene". The stretch from base 44 to 200 matches the Rfam family "Pvt1 oncogene conserved region 1". Lineage: Eukaryota; Metazoa; Chordata; Mammalia; Rodentia; Muridae. The record is from RNAcentral.